UACGUAGGGGGCGAGCGUUGUCCGGAUUUAUUGGGCGUAAAACGCUUGUAGGCGGCCACAUCGCGUCGUGCGUGAAAUCUCCCGGCUCAACUGGGAGGGGUCGUGCGAUACGGAUGGGCUCGAGGCCGGUAGGGGGACGCGGAAUUCCCGGUGUAGCGGUGAAAUGCGCAGAUAUCGGGAAGAACACCCGUGGCGAAGGCGGUUCUCUGGGACGGUACUGACGCUGAGACGCGAAAGCGUGGGGAGCGAACAGG
Molecule: ribosomal RNA, 254 nt
Filed under: uncultured bacterium
Lineage: Bacteria
Description: partial 16S ribosomal RNA
Rfam family: Bacterial small subunit ribosomal RNA
Source: RNAcentral